GUAAAGAGCUCGUAGGUGGUUUGUCGCGUUGUUCGUGAAAUCUCACGGCUUAACUGUGAGCGUGCGGGCGAUACGGGCAGACUUGAGUACUGCAGGGGAGACUGGAAUUCCUGGUGUAGCGGUGGAAUGCGCAGAUAUCAGGAGGAACACCGGUGGCGAAGGCGGGUCUCUGGGCAGUAACUGACGCUGAGGAGCGAAAGCGUGGGGAGCGAACAGGAUUAGAUACCCUGGUAGUCCACGCCGUAAACGGUGGGUACUAGGUGUGGGUUUCCUUCCUUGGGAUCCGUGCCGUAGCUAACGCAUUAAGUACCCCGCCUGGGGAGUACGGCCGCAAGGCUAAAACUCAAAGAAAUUGACGGGGGCCCGCACAAGCGGCGGAGCAUGUGGAUUAAUUCGAUGCAACGCGAAGAACCUUACCUGGGUUUGACAUGCACAGGACGCCGGCAGAGAUGUCGGUUCCCUUGUGGCCUGUGUGCAGGUGGUGCAUGGCUGUCGUCAGCUCGUGUCGUGAGAUGUUGGGUUAAGUCCCGCAACGAGCGCAACCCUUGUCUCAUGUUGCCAGCGGGUAAUGCCGGGGACUCGUGAGAGACUGCCGGGGUCAACUCGGAGGAAGGUGGGGAUGACGUCAAGUCAUCAUGCCCCUUAUGUCCAGGGCUUCACACAUGCUACAAUGGCCGGUACAAAGGGCUGCGAUGCCGCGAGGUUAAGCGAAUCCUUUUAAAGCCGGUCUCAGUUCGGAUCGGGGUCUGCAACUCGACCCCGUGAAGUCGGAGUCGCUAGUAAUCGCAGAUCAGCAACGCUGCG
This 804-nucleotide ribosomal RNA is filed under the name uncultured Mycobacterium sp. RNAcentral's name for it is "bacterial SSU rRNA". It matches the Rfam family "Bacterial small subunit ribosomal RNA", at positions 560 to 1361 of the family's 1533-position model. The record is from RNAcentral. Lineage: Bacteria; Bacillati; Actinomycetota; Actinomycetes; Mycobacteriales; Mycobacteriaceae.